GCAAAAUAUGAUAGAUAACUCAAUUUGAAUCAACAAUUAGUUUAAUAAAGAGAAUUAACUCAUAAGCACAAAAGGUUCAAUUGUAUUCUUACUUGAAAAAUUAAUUUAUGCCAAAGUUAAAGACUAGAAAUCUCAAGUUAAACAUCAUCCUUGAUUACAAAACUGAGAAAGGAAUGAGUAAAGAGAAACUCAGUUGAAUUAUUCUUUAAUAUUCAAACUUUGUCUUGCUCUUCCUUUACUGUUCCUUUAAAUCUCUAAUUCUCUAUCCCAAUUCAACUUGUGUCUUAUUAGGGUUUAAGCCUCCAUAUAAAAAGCUAUUUAUAGCCUAUCACAACAAUCCCAAAGUCUUAUUAAAUCCCCCCCUCCAAAUCUCUGAUGAAAAAUCUAACUUGAAACUGAAAUUCUGUUGAACUGGUCCCGACCUGACACUGCCUCACCAGAUUUCUUCUUUAAAGCGACGCUGUCACGCCAUGCAUCUUAGUCCCUCAUAAAAUCUCUGGUAGGGUAACGUUGCCGUGUUGCUAUUGGCGCUGCCGCGCCGACCAUAUCAACACUUCCAGCCAAACUCUGAUCAGGCCACGCUGCCGCACCAUUCUCUUUGAAAUCCUGACGUUGCCGCGCUAGGUCAUCAGAGUUUCUACUUCGCCCUAUUUUAAUGCUUUUUGCUACCUUUAUUCCUUAUUUGCUCCCAAGCCCUCUUCUUGUUAAAGUUUCCUGCAAAAGCACACAAAAACAACUAAAAGCAACCAUAAUACUUAAACACAACAAUCAAUUAAAGCCUAUGUGUAAAUUGUAGGUACAAAACCUACUCAUCAAUUGUUCAUGCCGCUGUAGUUAUUUGUUAAAAACUUAUAUCAUCUAUUAUAUGUUUUAAAUAUCUGAUUUAUUACUGUUGAAGACUAUUGAUAAAUUACUUAUCUUAGUUAUGAUAUUUUUUACUGAGAUAUAUGUGCUCACCCUUUUGCUUCACAAUUUUUUUUCAAAAACAAGACUGUAAUUGAACUAGUGGGGAGAGUAGAAAAAUAGAGUGAUGGUCUUGGUUGUCCUCGUCAAGUUAUAAAAUAAUAUGACAAUACUGAGAACUUAAAAUGUGUGUUGCCGUAUUUUAUACGACAUUAUAAUAAUUUGAAUACUAAUAUUGUCGUGUUAUAUACGAUAUUGUAAUAAUUUUAAAUAAGAGAAUUAUGAUUGUAGUACAUAUUUUGACGACUCAAAUUGAAUAGUAUAAACCUAAAUUUGAAAGUGUCACACUUGACAAACUUAUAUAUGUAAUUAUAUUAAAUUACGUAAAACCACAUUCAAUACACAUUAGAUGUAAAACUUAAUUCCAUUGUUAUUGCAUUUCAACUCAUAAUUAGGUCAAACUUAUCUCAAUUUGAGCCAAAACCUACAUUUAAACACCACAAACUCAACUUUAUGAUAUUAACACUAAAUAUCGUAUUAUACUAUAUGACUUUAUGAUAUUAACACUAAAUAUCGUAUUAUACUAUAUGAUUGUAAUGGAUGAAGAUAAAAAUUGAAAAAAAGAUAAAUCUUUUAUAUAACCCCAAAAAGACGAGUUGAAUUAGCAAAUUAAAUUACAUCUCAUAAAAAAAACAUGUAUGCACUUUUCUAAAACUUGUUAGAAAAAAAAAGUUUACGGGAUAUACUCCAGAGGGUAUAUAAGUUAUAUACCUUAGUUUUUAAAAUUUAUUUAUAUCAAGUUUUUUGAUAAAAUUUAGCCGUACGGAUGAAAAAAUCAUACAAAAAUACGAGUAAACGUAUAUUUUUAUUCAAUUUGAAGUUGUACAACACAAUUAUUAUAAUAUUAUAAAAUAAGUAUAUUUUUAAGCAACCAAGAUUAAGUGAACUUUCAUUACAAUAAAAUCGAUAAUGGACAUCACUAAAUUAUAUAAAAAUUUAUAUGUUUAAAUAUUUUUAUAUAUUUUUUAAAUCCGUAAAAAAACCCUAAAAAUAGACGUUAACCAUAUAAAGUAUACUAGUUAAAUAUCCUGAAGGUGUGGGGUAUAUUAUUUUUUCACAAAAAAUAUAAACACAAAAAAAUAAUUAAAAGAUAUUGCUAGAUUAAAAAAUAAAUAAAAAACCCAACCUUAAAGUCAAAGAGGACAAAAUAAUUAAUUAAUCCCUAAAAUAUAUUACUCCAAAUCUCCGAUUUAAGAGUUUGAUUGCAAGUUUACCGUAGUAAAUGACCCCAA
RNAcentral lists this long non-coding RNA (2195 nucleotides) under Panax ginseng (ginseng). Its description in RNAcentral is "long non-coding RNA (PGIN_LNC011120)". The record is from RNAcentral. Lineage: Eukaryota; Viridiplantae; Streptophyta; Magnoliopsida; Apiales; Araliaceae.